RNAcentral lists this ribosomal RNA (582 nucleotides) under Pichia manshurica. RNAcentral describes it as "eukaryotic LSU rRNA". It matches the Rfam family "Eukaryotic large subunit ribosomal RNA", at positions 59 to 667 of the family's 3401-position model. Lineage: Eukaryota; Fungi; Ascomycota; Pichiomycetes; Pichiales; Pichiaceae. The record is from RNAcentral.
AAGAAACCAACAGGGAUUGCCCCAGUAGCGGCGAGUGAAGCGGUAAGAGCUCAGAUUUGAAAUCGUGUUUCGGCACGAGUUGUAGAGUGUAGGCGGGAGUCUCUGUGGAGCGCGGUGUCCAAGUCCCUUGGAACAGGGUGCCUGAGAGGGUGAGAGCCCCGUAGGGUGCUGCGCGAAGCUUUUGAGGCCCUGCCGACGAGUCGAGUUGUUUGGGAAUGCAGCUCCAAGCGGGUGGUAAAUUCCAUCUAAGGNUAAAUAUUGGCGAGAGACCGAUAGCGAACAAGUACUGUGAAGGAAAGAUGAAAAGCACUUUGAAAAGAGAGUGAAACAGCACGUGAAAUUGUUGAAAGGGAAGGGUAUUGGGCUCGACAUGGGGGGUGCGCACCGCUGUCUCUUGUAGGCGGCGCUCUGGGCGCCCUCUGGGCCAGCAUCGGUUCCUGCUGCGGGAGAAGGGGCUCCGGAAAGUGGCUCUUCGGAGUGUUAUAGCCGGGGCCAGAUGCCGCGUGUGGGGACCGAGGACUGCGGCUUCUGUCUCGGAUGCUGGCAUAACGGCGCAAUACCGCCCGUCUUGAAACACGGACC